GAUGAACGCUGGCGGCGUGCCUAAUACAUGCAAGUCGAACGAACAGACGAGGAGCUUGCUCCUCUGACGUUAGCGGCGGACGGGUGAGUAACACGUGGAUAACCUACCUAUAAGACUGGGAUAACUUCGGGAAACCGGCGCUAAUACCGGAUAAUAUAUUGAACCGCAUGGUUCAAUAGUGAAAGACGGUUUUGCUGUCACUUAUAGAUGGAUCCGCGCCGCAUUAGCUAGUUGGUAAGGUAACGGCUUACCAAGGCAACGAUGCGUAGCCGACCUGAGAGAGGGAUAGGCCACCCUGGAACGGAGACACGGUCCAGACUCCUGCGGGAGGCAGCAGUAGGGAAUCUUCCGCAAAGGGCGAAAGCCUGACGGAGCAACGCGGCGUGAGUGAUGAAGGUCUUCGGAUCGUAAAACUCUGUUAUUAGGGAAGAACAAAUGUGUAAGUAACUAUGCACGUCUUGACGGUACCUAAUCAGAAAGCCACGGCUAACUACGUG
Molecule: ribosomal RNA, 497 nt
Filed under: uncultured bacterium
Lineage: Bacteria
Description: partial 16S ribosomal RNA
Rfam family: Bacterial small subunit ribosomal RNA
Source: RNAcentral